UACGGAAGGCAGCAGUGGGGAAUAUUGCACAAUGGGCGCAAGCCUGAUGCAGCCAUGCCGCGUGUAUGAAGAAGGCCUUCGGGUUGUAAAGUACUUUCAGUCGUGAGGAAGGUGUUAAGGUUAAUAACCUUAGCAAUUGACGUUAGCGACAGAAGAAGCACCGGCUAACUCCGUGCCAGCAGCCGCGGUAAUACGGAGGGUGCGAGCGUUAAUCGGAAUUACUGGGCGUAAAGGGCACGCAGGCGGUUAAUUAAGUUGGAUGUGAAAUCCCCGGGCUUAACCUGGGAAUGGCAUUCAAGACUGGUUAGCUAGAGUCUUGUAGAGGGGGUAGAAUUCCAUGUGUAGCGGUGAAAUGCGUAGAGAUGUGGAGGAAUACCGGGUGGGCGAAGGCGGGCCCCUGGGACAAAGACUGACGCUCAUGUGCGAAAGCGUGGGGAGCAAACAGGGAUUAGAUACC
This 457-nucleotide ribosomal RNA is filed under the name uncultured bacterium. Its description in RNAcentral is "bacterial SSU rRNA". It matches the Rfam family "Bacterial small subunit ribosomal RNA", at positions 340 to 786 of the family's 1533-position model. The record is from RNAcentral.